Molecule: long non-coding RNA, 647 nt
Organism: Orbicella faveolata
Lineage: Eukaryota; Metazoa; Cnidaria; Anthozoa; Scleractinia; Merulinidae
Source: RefSeq, a predicted model, not a curated record
GACUUAGACGAAAUUGAAAUCAAUAACAUCCAGGCUAAGUCUCUCAAACUGAGAAGCCAACAAUGGAGAACUCUCUCCAGGUUUCAGGAUAUAGGAGAGAAAGGACACGAAAUUUUUGAUGUAUUGCCAAAGCAUAAAAGAGCCACCUGGGAAACUAUUCAGUAUAACAUUAGCACAAUAAAACAGGUCAUUCGAUAUUGUAUAUUUUUCCUUAUUUGCAUUGCAUGUUACAUAGCACGAUCUAAUUGCCAAUAAACACUUUGGCGAAUCGUUGAUAAAAACGCUCCACGAGUCGCAAUAAGGCAAGCUUCGUACUGAUUAUUUAUUCGAAUGUGCCACACAAGACUUGUCGUGUUCAGUCUAUAAUGAAGAUAUAACUCAUUUUUUCGCGUUGUGCACGGCAGAAUAAGAAUUUCGUCUUCGCCUAGAUCAGGAUUGAAGAAGUAGAGGGAACAAUGAAAUAUUUUUCGGCACAGAGUCCUUUACUCCUCAUCAAGGUCACUCUUCUGUUAACAGCAUGCCCUGGAUUAUCUAAUGGCGAUGUGAUUUCAAAGCUUUUCGCCGACUACGACAAAGCCUUAAGACCUGAUUUUGAAAGCGGCAAACCUACGGUCGUGCAAUGUUCUUUGACUGUCGAAUCUUUUGGC